Molecule: ribosomal RNA, 407 nt
Filed under: uncultured bacterium
Lineage: Bacteria
Description: partial 16S ribosomal RNA
Rfam family: Bacterial small subunit ribosomal RNA
Source: RNAcentral
AUUGAACCCCGGCGGCAGGCCUAACACAUCCAAGUCGAGCGGAGCGGCGGACGGGCGAGUAAUGCCCAGGAAUCUGCCUGGUCGUGGGGGAUAACGUCCGGAAACGGGCGCUAAUAUCGCAUACUAUCAGAUGAGCCUAGGUCGGAUGAGCUAGUUGGUGGGGUAAAGGCCUACCAAGGCGACGAGCCGUAACUGGUCUGAUAGGAUGUUCAGUCAAACUGGAACUGAGACACGGUCCAGACUCCUACGGGAGGCAGCAGUGGGAAAUAUUGGCCAACGGGCGAAAGCCUGAUCCAGCCAUGCCGCGUGUUUGAAGAAGGUCUUCGGAUUGUAAAGCCCUUUAAGUUGGGAGGCGUUACCAACAGAAUAAGCACCGGCUAACUUCGUGCCAGCAGCCGCGGUAAUAC